This 74-nucleotide transfer RNA is filed under the name Camelus bactrianus (Bactrian camel). It matches the Rfam family "tRNA". From Rfam's summary of the family: Transfer RNA (tRNA) molecules are approximately 80 nucleotides in length. Their secondary structure includes four short double-helical elements and three loops (D, anti-codon, and T loops). Further hydrogen bonds mediate the characteristic L-shaped molecular structure. tRNAs have two regions of fundamental functional importance: the anti-codon, which is responsible for specific mRNA codon recognition, and the 3' end, to which the tRNAs corresponding amino acid is attached (by aminoacyl-tRNA synthetases). tRNAs cope with the degeneracy of the genetic code in two manners: having more than one tRNA (with a specific anti-codon) for a particular amino acid; and 'wobble' base-pairing, i.e. permitting non-standard base-pairing at the 3rd anti-codon position. Lineage: Eukaryota; Metazoa; Chordata; Mammalia; Artiodactyla; Camelidae. The record is from Rfam by way of RNAcentral. RNAcentral also lists the same sequence under 2 other names.
GAGGGGAUAGCUCAGUAGGGUAGAGCGCAUGCCUAGCAUGCACGAAGUCCUGGGUUCAAUCCCCAGUACCUCCU